This 253-nucleotide ribosomal RNA is filed under the name uncultured bacterium. RNAcentral's name for it is "partial 16S ribosomal RNA". It matches the Rfam family "Bacterial small subunit ribosomal RNA", at positions 524 to 776 of the family's 1533-position model. The record is from RNAcentral.
UACGUAGGGGGCUAGCGUUGUCCGGAAUUAUUGGGCGUAAAGCGCACGUAGGCGGCUUUGCAAGUCCCAUGUGAAAGCCCACGGCUCAACCGUGGAAGUGCAUGGGAAACUGCAGAGCUUGAGUACUUAAGAGGAUCGCGGAAUUCCCGGUGUAGAGGUGAAAUUCGUAGAUAUCGGGAGGAACACCAGUGGCGAAGGCGGCGAUCUGGGAAGAUACUGACGCUGAGAUGCGAAAGCGUGGGGAGCAAACAGG